Molecule: long non-coding RNA, 3172 nt
Organism: Cyprinus carpio carpio
Lineage: Eukaryota; Metazoa; Chordata; Actinopteri; Cypriniformes; Cyprinidae
Source: Ensembl
AUGAACAUUCUGGGACUAAGCCAUCAUUCAUUCAAGAAGAAGAAAAAAGAAGCAAACAUUCUAGGACGAAGAGACAUGGCUGCAGCACAGGAGGAGCUCAGGAGGGCUGUCUUGGCAGUACUUCCGGACCUCCCCGCAGACACACUAACUACAUUGAUGGCAGGCCUGGAGGAACUUGGUGUGGAGAACAAGGAGGACAUGAGCCUUCUAAGUGAAGAAAAUCUUCUGCCCUUUCUCCGUGUGGUCCAGUCUAGAAAGCUUCUCCGUGCCUUUUCAUCUCAAGGUAACCAUAGGUUGGGUGGUUCCGAGACGGGGGUGGUCGUCUGCAUGAAGUGACACAAGGCACUUUUAUCCUUCACCCUGGUGGAGAGAACUCUGGCGCACGUUGGCUGCCGCUUCUCCGUCCGUAUUUUAAUUUAUUACCUCAUUCGUUUGUUUUUAAACAGUAAAGAUUUUAUUAUUUGGUAUUUUUAUGCUGUUUUAUCGACACUGGAGUUGUACUGUGGAGUUUCUCGUGGUUUUGGGCACAACAUCGUGGGAUUGUUGAUCCUGCUGACUAGGAACACUGUGGCCUGUGCGAUAGCUAUUUAUAUGCUGCGGUGUGAUAACAACGCGUCUGGAUUCUAUUUCAAGUGACUCAGUUUGGAUAUUGAUGCUCCUAUCAUGCGGAUUCCUUUGCUUUGCAUUGUCGUCAUCAUCAUCAUCAUCAUUAUUAUUUUGACCCUGUGUGGACUUCGUGGAGAGCGGGUUCUUCAACAACAGUUGGAUUUCAUCAUGAUAAGGUACUCUUUUGCUGAACUUCUCUCAUUGGAACAUUAUUUACUUCCUGACGUCUGUGUUCAAAAGACCUUGAAAUCAUGUCGGCUUUUACGUCGGCCGAAAUAUUUACACAGAGGAUGACGGCGGAAUGUUCAUACUACUGGGACUGGCAUUAAAGUUUUAUGUUCUCUAUCCAAGGACUCUGAAACACAAAAGCAUUCUCUAUGUCGUGUUUGCCAUGCAAAUUUGUGUUAUCCGAAACUGACUCAUCAGAAAAUGCGAAUUGAAACUGCUCGAUUUGCACAUCUAAAUGUUCGUUCACUGAAUAAUAAGACUGCAGUUUUUGACCGCUGAGUGGCGCUUUAAUCACAAGUUUUCAAACAAGCGCAUCAAAGCACAUUUUCGCAAAUAGACGUCAGUUUUGCCUCGCUGAUGUGUUACAUUUGACGGCUGCAGUCAGGGAAAAUGAAAGAAAAACACUAUAGUUAAAAUAUUUAAUAUUCACAGAUGAAAGUUUGGUAAUUAUGAAGUUAUGUGCAUUUCUUAGAACGAAUUCAAGCAGGAUAAAUAUCAAGCCUAUGAGCCUGUGCUUAUAUUUUCUCUAAGCUACACAGUAUUACACCAUAUUUUAGAUUUGACACAUUUAAUAGGUGUGCAGUAUUAUUUAUAUAAUAUGAAUUAUGUGUUAUAUUAUUCAAAAGAAAUUGUGGUUUACUUUGCAUCAGAGCAUUAAAAGUGGCUAUUUUAGUGAGCUAGGCUACAUGGAUUUAUAUGCAAAAUGUCAAUAUUAUCAUAUAUUAGGCCUAUAUUUUAAUUUAUAUUUUAAAAUUCCUUUAAUAAAACAACAUGCAUUUUUGUUAUUCAUUACCUGUCCUUUAUUUUGACAGACAACUUCUUGGGAAAAUAUAUUUGUCUGUAAGAAAUUGUUGCGUGUUUUAUAAAUUAUUUUCUUUAUUUUAGUAAAACGUGAGGCACUGUAUAAUUUCGUUCCCAUUAUUUAGGCCUAAUUAAAACAAGAAAUGAAUAAAUUAAACCUGCACGAUUUAGCUAAAUCAUUGAAAGUCUAAAGAAUGGACGGAUUAAUAAAACGUCCUCACGAUUAAACUCAAGUUCUCUCAUUAUAAUCACCAAACUGCAAAUGAUGUAAAAAAAAAAAAGAGCUUCAUUAAUAGACAACUUCAGUGAUUUUAAAGGGAGCCGCCGUUACUUGCUUACAUAGAAUUUAAGUAAAAAAAAAAAAAAAAAUUGCAGCCGCAUUUAAAUGUAGGUGUGUAAAAUGUCUGCGUGCAAGAUUUGCGCGGCGCAAGUCAUGCUGAGUGCACGCGCAGCAUUUAUUCUUAUUUGUUUUAUCUUCAUUACAAAUCUUGUUUGGUUUUAUUUUGGAUAAUUGCAUGUAAAAAAUAAUUUACGUUGUAAUGCAUAUGCAAAAUGUGAAUAAUUAUUCAUAUUUAAGUGUUUGUGCGAAAAUUAUUAAUGCGCAUGCAGGACAGGGAGGCGCCCUCUAGAUCACUUGAAUUUUUUCCUGAUAAUGAAUUAACUUAAAAUUGUGGUGUCUCACAUACAUGAGAAAUAUAUCUACAGAAACAUGGGAGUGAUUCGACCCUAAGAGUAGUGGGCAUUGAGGCUGUUCGCCUGGAUGCCAGGGGUGGGGAUAUCAUCAAACGCCUUAAACAAAGGGAGACAUAUUGGAUCUAUUCCUUGAGGGCCACCGGUCAUCCAGGUCUUAAUGAAGACUUUGACCUCUCACCUUUUUUGUAAAGGUUGUGUCUCAAUAGGGACAGUGUAUUGUUGUCCGUGAAUGUUGACUGUUCUUUUAAUGUACUGUAAUGCCCAUAAUAAUAUUUUUCUCCUGUUGUUUUAGAACUAUCUUGACAAUGAAUUCAGAAGUAAGAUGGGUAACUAGCCUCUACACAUUUAUUGACUUUAGGGAUAUAAUUGUGUGGAGUACACAAGAUGUUUGUAUUGGUGUUACUCUUUUUUUCCACUUGGAGAUCCCUUAUCUUGUAUUUGUAUGGUUUGACCUUUGGUAUUAGCCAUUAUCUGAACUAUUGCCUCUAGUGGCCAAAAAUUGUGUUGCAAGUACCAGAGUGGCACACCUGAAACCAAUGCAACUAUAAGUAUUGCGUGAUUCUGUCUGUUUGUUACCAACACCCUGAUGAAGGCCAAUGGGCCGAUACGCGUUGGUGUUUUAAUGCUUUAGCCCAACUAUUAAAGGCUUUUUAACUUUUGCAUCCUAUUGAGUGCCUGGACUUGGAUUUUUUUCCAAAAUUUUUUUCUACAUUUAACCCUUCCAAGAGCACCAGAGGAUACAAGGGAUUCCAGCAGCGCUCCAGUUCUCUUUUGUCUAGUCUUAUGAGGAUCAUUUUGGGUGACCCUGGACAGGAGCAGCUCCGUUUUACUUUUUGAACGUUGU